Molecule: ribosomal RNA, 253 nt
Filed under: uncultured bacterium
Lineage: Bacteria
Description: partial 16S ribosomal RNA
Rfam family: Bacterial small subunit ribosomal RNA
Source: RNAcentral
UACGUAGGGGGCAAGCGUUGUCCGGAUUUAUUGGGCGUAAAGAGCGUGUAGGCGGCCAGACAGGUCCGUUGUGAAAACUCGAGGCUCAACCUCGAGACGCCGAUGGAAACCGUCUGGCUAGAGUCCGGAAGAGGAGAGUGGAAUUCCUGGUGUAGCGGUGAAAUGCGCAGAUAUCUGGAGGAACACCGGUGGCGAAGGCGGCAUCCUGGACCGACACUGACGCUGAGGAGCGAAAGCCAGGGGAGCAAACGGG